GAUUCGCCCGGAGUGGCCGAGCUGCGCGGCUACGGCUUCAUUGUCAGUUGAAAGACGCGGUUUCGCGCGCCUGUGCGGUCGGCGAGAAAGGGUACUAGGCGGCUCCGCUAGGUUCAUGGAGCUGAGCUGGGCCGAGGGGCGGGAACUGCGGAGCGGCCUCGGUCAAACUCGUCUUAAAGGACGCGGAAAGCCCCUCACCACGUGACGGCCGCGCAGGCGCAUUAUCCUAGCCCUCGGCGCGUGGGUCGGGCCGAGGGGUUCAGCAGCCCGUGGCGCUCCUCGGCUGGCGCUGCGAGUGAGCCCGCGGCGGCAGUGACACAGCCUACCUUGCUCAUUGCCCUUCACGUCCCGCCUCCGGCUUCUGCGGCCGCGGGAAUCCGAGAAUGUGAGCAAAGACAAGUUUUCCGACACCGAAAACUCGUUGGAACCGGCAAGCGCGCCCCUAGCUCCGGCAGGCAAAAUGCGACCUUCUCUCGCCCUUUUUCGUUUGUACUCCGAAUUGCGAAAGUACUGUAUGUUCACUGGAAAUAUGGGAAAAUGCAGAAAUACAUUAACGGCUGCAUACAUUCCGUCGAGUGAGUGAAACUAACUUACCCUGGACGUUAAGCUGUUUCCAGUUCUCACUUUACUAAAUAAUAAUAGAACGAAGGUUCUUGUGCACGUCUACCUUGUAUUUUUAUAAUUCCUUUCCUUUCCCCACUUCCCUCCUUGUCCGCUAAAAUAAAGUGCUACCAGAUAAACUCAGGGCAAAAUGAGCUUAAACUAAGUGAGGUAGUGGGGAGACUCGAAUUGCUCUUAUAUAAACCCCAUAGAAAGUACGGAGCUUUCGGCGUAAUCGGUGCUCAGUAAAUACUUGUUCAUGUCAAUUCACAGCUAAUUGUACAUUUUAUUAGGUAAGUAACAUCUGGAUAUUAAAGGGCAUAUUAAUGUAAAACUAUAAAGGCCCUGAAUUAUUUUCUUAGGUGAUUUAAAUUUUUCUCUUUAACUACAAAUUGUGUUUCAAUAUUAAUAGAAGUCUUAAAAUAUUAGAUAAAUGAACCCUAGUUAUUUUGAGGUAGCUCCUUGAAAGUAAGGCAACUCCAGCUACCCUUUUAACCUGCUAAGUGGUUACGUUUUGUCUUGUUUCCUUAAAAAAACCAUAAAUAGUCUUAUUAAGGAAAUAAUGAAAAGGUUUCCAGAAAUAGACUUUCUCACCAACAGUUUAAUAGCCGACAUUUAUUGAACGUACACAUUUUAAUGAGAAUUAGGAUAAAAUAUUAACUGCCUCUGUUAUACAGAGAAAGAUGACAUGCUUUUCCUCAUAGCCCAAACGGUACAUGCUGAAAUGACAGCAGAGGAUUUUUGUCUGUGUUCCCUGAACCAAAGUUU
This 1368-nucleotide long non-coding RNA is filed under the name Homo sapiens (human). RNAcentral's name for it is "non-protein coding lnc-OSBPL10-3:4". The record is from RNAcentral. Lineage: Eukaryota; Metazoa; Chordata; Mammalia; Primates; Hominidae.